GAUGAACGCUAGCUACAGGCUUAACACAUGCAAGUCGAGGGGUAGCAGGGUAGCAAUACCGCUGACGACCGGCGCACGGGUGAGUAACACGUAUCCAACCUACCAUUCACACGGGGAUAGCCUUUCGAAAGAAAGAUUAAUACCCGAUAGUAUAGCGAGAGGGCAUCCUUUUGCUAUUAAAGAAUUUCGGUGUUUGAUGGGGAUGCGUUCCAUUAGAUUGUUGGUGAGGUAACGGCUCACCAAGUCUUCGAUGGAUAGGGGUUCUGAGAGGAAGGUCCCCCAAAUUGGAACUGAGACACGGUCCAAACUCCUACAGGAGGCAGCAGUGAGGAAUAUUGGUCAAUGGACGAGAGUCUCAACCAGCCAAGUAGCGUGAAGGAUGAAGGCCCUAUGGGUCGUAAACUUCUUUUAUAGGGGAAUAAAGUGCGGAACGUGUUCCGCUUUGUAUGUACCCUACGAAUAAGGAUCGGCUAACUCCGUGCCAGCCGCCGCCGUAA
This 497-nucleotide ribosomal RNA is filed under the name uncultured bacterium. Its description in RNAcentral is "partial 16S ribosomal RNA". It matches the Rfam family "Bacterial small subunit ribosomal RNA", at positions 28 to 523 of the family's 1533-position model. The record is from RNAcentral.